RNAcentral lists this long non-coding RNA (811 nucleotides) under Pan troglodytes (chimpanzee). Its description in RNAcentral is "lncRNA (ENSPTRG00000054022.1)". Lineage: Eukaryota; Metazoa; Chordata; Mammalia; Primates; Hominidae. The record is from RNAcentral.
GAAAAGAGAAGAAAAGAAAAAGAAAAAGUCUCAAGUUUACUUAUCCGUGGUCUCAUCUUGGUUCUCUCAAUUCCUUCACCUAGACAAAAACAAACUUCUUGGCAGAAUCCCUGUCUUUAUUUUCCAGUCUUCUGUGUCAUCAAGAAGAAAAUAUAAAAUAAGCUUUCAGCAAUUUAAAAUGCAGCAGAAGGAGUUACAUGCCAUUUUCCAGAAAAAAAUAUCAACCUGUAACAGAUUUGCAAUCUGAACCUGAGCUCUGCAUGGACAUUGCCAAACUUCAAGCCAGCAAAUCAAACUGAGAGAACAUCUCCUGAGGUCCCAGCCUCCUGCCUCACAUCUCGUACAUCUUGAUUACCUUGCUGAGGCUGCUCUAUUGACCUUAAGCCAGCCUCACAGCAGAGAAAAGGUUUCCAGAAAGACUUUUAUUUAUCAUUCUGUGGAAGGAAACUUUGGCUAUAGUUGAUGAGAAUUAAUUUGUCUCCCUUGUCACCUCCAUGCAACAUGCAAUUCUGAAUAGUUUCUUAGUAGAUGGUCCAGAGACUUCAAGAGAUCUAGCAAUUAGCUCUUAGCAAGUGGAUGCUUUAGUAAGUGGCUUUGACAUAGCCUCAAAUGUUUCUAUGUCCUUUAUAACUUAAUCCUAGCCUUGUCUUGCUCUCCUGUUAUUUAGAAUUGCAUGCAAACCUAGUAUCAGGCUCUGCUUUCAGGUGAAGCUGGGCUAUAUAUAUAUAUAAUUUUUUUUUGCAUAUUGACACUCUAAAAGUGUUACAGCAGCAUACCCCUUCCCUGUGUUCAAGGCAAUUUGAUAACUUAU